Molecule: ribosomal RNA, 253 nt
Filed under: uncultured bacterium
Lineage: Bacteria
Description: partial 16S ribosomal RNA
Rfam family: Bacterial small subunit ribosomal RNA
Source: RNAcentral
UACGUAGGGUGCAAGCGUUGUCCGGAAUUACUGGGCGUAAAGGGCUCGUAGGCGGCCAACUAAGUCGGACGUGAAAUCCCUCAGCUUAACUGGGGAACUGCGUCUGAGACUGGAUAGCUUGAGUGCAGGAGAGGAACGCGGAAUUCCAGGUGUAGCGGUGAAAUGCGUAGAUAUCUGGAGGAACACCGGUGGCGAAGGCGGCGUUCUGGACUGCAACUGACACUGAGGAACGAAAGCCAGGGGAGCAAACGGG